RNAcentral lists this ribosomal RNA (610 nucleotides) under Pediococcus acidilactici. RNAcentral describes it as "bacterial SSU rRNA". It matches the Rfam family "Bacterial small subunit ribosomal RNA", at positions 84 to 681 of the family's 1533-position model. The record is from RNAcentral. Lineage: Bacteria; Bacillati; Bacillota; Bacilli; Lactobacillales; Lactobacillaceae.
ACACGAAGUGAGUGGCGGACGGGUGAGUAACACGUGGGUAACCUGCCCAGAAGCAGGGGAUAACACCUGGAAACAGAUGCUAAUACCGUAUAACAGAGAAAACCGCCUGGUUUUCUUUUAAAAGAUGGCUCUGCUAUCACUUCUGGAUGGACCCGCGGCGCAUUAGCUAGUUGGUGAGGUAACGGCUCACCAAGGCGAUGAUGCGUAGCCGACCUGAGAGGGUAAUCGGCCACAUUGGGACUGAGACACGGCCCAGACUCCUACGGGAGGCAGCAGUAGGGAAUCUUCCACAAUGGACGCAAGUCUGAUGGAGCAACGCCGCGUGAGUGAAGAAGGGUUUCGGCUCGUAAAGCUCUGUUGUUAAAGAAGAACGUGGGUGAGAGUAACUGUUCACCCAGUGACGGUAUUUAACCAGAAAGCCACGGCUAACUACGUGCCAGCAGCCGCGGUAAUACGUAGGUGGCAAGCGUUAUCCGGAUUUAUUGGGCGUAAAGCGAGCGCAGGCGGUCUUUUAAGUCUAAUGUGAAAGCCUUCGGCUCAACCGAAGAAGUGCAUUGGAAACUGGGAGACUUGAGUGCAGAAGAGGACAGUGGAACUCCAUGUGUAGCGG